RNAcentral lists this ribosomal RNA (425 nucleotides) under uncultured bacterium. RNAcentral's name for it is "partial 16S ribosomal RNA". It matches the Rfam family "Bacterial small subunit ribosomal RNA", at positions 354 to 796 of the family's 1533-position model. The record is from RNAcentral.
GUGGGGGAUAUUGCACAAUGGAGGAAACUCUGAUGCAGCGACGCCGCGUGAGUGAAGAAGUAUUUCGGUAUGUAAAGCUCUAUCAGCAGGGAAGAUAAUGACAGUACCUGACUAAGAAGCCCCGGCUAACUACGUGCCAGCAGCCGCGGUAAUACGUAGGGGGCAAGCGUUAUCCGGAUUUACUGGGUGUAAAGGGAGCGUAGACGGAAUGGCAAGUCUGAAGUGAAAUCCUGCGGCUUAACUGCAGAAUUGCUUUGGAAACUGUCAAUCUGGAGUGUUGGAGAGGUAAGCGGAAUUCCUGGUGUAGCGGUGAAAUGCGUAGAUAUCAGGAAGAACACCGGAGGCGAAGGAGGCUUACUGGACAAUAACUGACGUUGAGGCUCGAAAGCGUGGGAAGCAAACAGGAUUAGAUACCCCGGUAGUCC